This 73-nucleotide transfer RNA is filed under the name Parcubacteria group bacterium ADurb.Bin326. RNAcentral's name for it is "tRNA-Pro". The record is from RNAcentral.
CGGGGUGGAGUAUGCCGGUAGUACGCGCCCAUGGGGUGGGUGUAGACGGAGUUCAAUUCUCCGCACCCCGACC